Molecule: ribosomal RNA, 432 nt
Filed under: uncultured bacterium
Lineage: Bacteria
Description: bacterial SSU rRNA
Rfam family: Bacterial small subunit ribosomal RNA
Source: RNAcentral
AACGAACGCUGGCGGCAUGCCUAACACAUGCAAGUCGAACGAAGCCUUCGGGCUUAGUGGCGCACGGGUGCGUAACGCGUGGGAAUCUGCCCUUGGGUUCGGAAUAACAGUUAGAAAUGACUGCUAAUACCGAAUGAUGUCUUCGGACCAAAGAUUUAUCGCCCAAGGAUGAGCCCGCGUCGGAUUAGCUAGUUGGUGAGGUAAAGGCUCACCAAGGCGACGAUCCGUAGCUGGUCUGAGAGGAUGAUCAGCCACACUGGGACUGAGACACGGCCCAGACUCCUACGGGAGGCAGCAGUGGGGAAUAUUGGACAAUGGGCGAAAGCCUGAUCCAGCAAUGCCGCGUGAGUGAUGAAGGCCUUAGGGUUGUAAAGCUCUUUACCCGGGAUGAUAAUGACAGUACCGGGAGAAUAAGCCCCGGCUAACUCCGUG